CUACUAGGGACCUGAUUUUUUUAAACUCUGCUGACUGGUUUAUCUCUGAGGAGAUAAAUGGUUUAACUUGCUUUAUUCUGUUACUUAGAUUAAUUAGCUAGUGUUUACAUGGCUCACUAAAAUAUGUAGAGCUCUAUAAAUGUUCAUACCCUUCAAAUAAAAAUGGCUCUGGGAUCUUCCUGAAAGCCAGGUUUUAAACCUUGCAUUAUCUAAUGCUAGGGAGCUAUGAGUAACAGCCUCUUCCUUCCUUCCACAGCACUGCUUGUGUUUUCCUUUGCUGCCUGUAUUUCACAUUUUUCAGCUUCUUCUUAGCAACACAUUUUCAAGGCAACAGUGCCUACACUUUUGUCAGUAAGCCUCAAUAUUCAUCACACAGAGACACAACCACACAGUUUUGGGUUUAGCUGCAAAUGCAUGAAGAGAAGCAGUCUCACCUGCAGCACAGCUGGGCUCUGCUUAGAGCAGAUGUCUGCAACAGGUCAAAAAAGUCACUCCUAUGAUGCCAGAAGAUUUUUACUUUUUAUAUAUUUUUCACAUAUCUGUAGCUCUGUAGACUAUUAUUAUAUAUAGUUUCUUAAGCUAACUCCAGUAUUUUGCUAGACAAACACAUUCCUGGAAUCCUAUUCUAAUCUUGCUUCUUCUGUGAAGCAAGGCCAUGUCACUUUUCCAUGGGUUUAGACAUAAACAGUGUGGGGCUAGAAGCAAUGUGGGAGGCUUCAGCAGGGGGCCAGACCAAGAGGGGAAUUUCUUCAUUAACUGUACUUCUAACUGGGGAUUCUUGUCAGUUAUGAUAAUUUCCUAAACUUAUGAAAAUUCCAAAGCUCUUUGUCAUGGGGGCACUCUGCCACAAGUGCACCUGAAGGACCUUCAAUAAAUGAGAUGAUCAUCAACACAACUUCAACAAGACUAAAAUAGCCUCCUCUUCUCUUCAGCCAUCUGCUGGGGACAGGGUCCUGGGUUGGCUUGGUAAGGCUGCUCCUAUGACCUCACCAUCAUCCUUGUGCCAUCCUGGUUUAGUGACUAGCAGGGCUCUUCCAAAUACUUUGAGAACUGCUCGAGAGCUGGAUCAGGUAACUCCCAUCAUACUCCAGCUGCUGGAUUUACACACAGUAGUUGCAAAUAAUCACACAGUUGAACAGGGGACUGAGAUGCACUCUUGGAGCUGCUCUGCUGCCAAGGGUCUGGCAGUGCUCCUUGAACUCAGGAAUGCUGAGGAUUAGGAGGAGGAAUGCAACCCCAUCAACCUGCCCUUCCACUUCUUCACCUCAGGAAAACAAAGGUGCAAAUGCUGUUUCAUGGGAUGGAUUUGGAACAGUUUUUAGAGAGCAAACCUGGAAAAUCUACAGAACAGCAACAUUCUCUCCUGCUGGAUCUCCUUUGGCAAUAAAGUUGGAUCUCCCCGCCAUCCCUGAUCUGAUCCCUGCAUUUCACUCCUUCAAGUAGUUUGGCACCUCUAAGCUGGUGUAAAAAGAGGAAGAUUAUGAAAACAAGGAAACAGAAUUCUUUGAGAAAUCAAUAAACAGUUGCUUGUUUUUGUCCGUGC
Long non-coding RNA from Passer domesticus (house sparrow), 1543 nucleotides. RefSeq lists it as uncharacterized. NCBI's taxonomy places the organism in Eukaryota, Metazoa, Chordata, Aves, Passeriformes, Passeridae. The record is from RefSeq and is a predicted model, not a curated record. The transcript is spliced from 3 exons.